Molecule: long non-coding RNA, 744 nt
Organism: Astatotilapia calliptera (eastern happy)
Lineage: Eukaryota; Metazoa; Chordata; Actinopteri; Cichliformes; Cichlidae
Source: Ensembl
GAUGAUUCAGAGAAGAGAGAGCAUGGGAAUAUAUGGAGGGAGAAAGAUAGGGAGGCGGGAUGAUUAAAGACAGGAUGAAAGAAGAAUAAAAAAGAUGACAGAAGAGAGAAAGAAAGGAAUGAGGAGAAGAAGAGAAAAUGUGAAGAUGAAGAUGGAAAGAGUGAGCGAGAGACAUAAAAGAUGAGGGAGAGUAUAAGGCGCCUGUCUUUGAUCCUCUCAGCGGAAAAACAGAACACAGCUGUGUUUGUAUUGCUCACUUUGUGAGGACUCAGCUUCCUUAUGGGGACGAAAAACAAGCAAAAGGUUUACACUCUCCCUGCCCUCACAACCACCUCCCUGUCUUGCCACUUUGUUGCAACUCCGACAACCUUCCCAUCCCCAAGGAGAAGAAUGAUGGCUUUAUGGAGAAAGAGAAAAAGAAUGAACAUGAAAGAGGAACUGGUCAGGAGAAAAAGACAGAGAACACUUGUUUUGGCUCACAGACAGAACAACAACAAAGGUUUUUCCCCCCAUCCAGAGGCCUGUUUCAGGGAAACACCUCCACCCUUAUGUCCAGCCCAGGCCUCACAGGUUCGAAUCUGAAUAUGGAGAUAAGUCGGCGGCGUAUCUUCAGCCUUGAGCCUUUCCAUCAGAGCAGCAUCAUAAACAGCCGGCUGAAGAGAGGGAGGGAGGAGGACAGAGAGGAGGAGAUGGAGGUGGAGGAGGGGACGGAAAAUCUGAGCAAGAAAGCCAAAUUCACAAAUG